This 467-nucleotide ribosomal RNA is filed under the name uncultured bacterium. RNAcentral's name for it is "partial 16S ribosomal RNA". It matches the Rfam family "Bacterial small subunit ribosomal RNA", at positions 29 to 507 of the family's 1533-position model. The record is from RNAcentral.
ACGAACGCUGGCGGCGCGCCUAACACAUGCAAGUCGAACGGAGUCAAGAGGAGCUUGCUUUUCUUGACUUAGUGGCGAACGGGUGAGUAACGCGUGAGUAACCUGCCCUGGAGUGGGGGACAACAGUUGGAAACGACUGCUAAUACCGCAUAAGCCCACGGAUCCGCAUGGAUCUGCGGGAAAAGGAUUUAUUCGCUUCAGGAUGGACUCGCGUCCAAUUAGCUAGUUGGUGAGGUAACGGCCCACCAAGGCGACGAUUGGUAGCCGGACUGAGAGGUUGAACGGCCACAUUGGGACUGAGACACGGCCCAGACUCCUACGGGAGGCAGCAGUGGGGGAUAUUGCACAAUGGGGGAAACCCUGAUGCAGCGACGCCGCGUGGAGGAAGAAGGUUUUCGGAUUGUAAACUCCUGUCGUUAGGGACGAUAAUGACUGUACCUAACAAGAAAGCACCGGCUAACUACGUG